GGAGAGAUACCCAAGUGGUCGAAGGGGUCGGUUUGCUAAACCGAUAGUAGGAGCAAUCCUAGCGAGGGUUCAAAUCCCUCUCUCUCCGCCA
RNAcentral lists this transfer RNA (91 nucleotides) under Bacillota bacterium. RNAcentral's name for it is "Firmicutes bacterium (anaerobic digester metagenome) tRNA-Ser". It matches the Rfam family "tRNA". From Rfam's summary of the family: Transfer RNA (tRNA) molecules are approximately 80 nucleotides in length. Their secondary structure includes four short double-helical elements and three loops (D, anti-codon, and T loops). The record is from RNAcentral. Lineage: Bacteria; Bacillati; Bacillota.